CUGAUCUAGCCAUGCCGCGUGAGUGAUGAAGGCCUUAGGGUCGUAAAGCUCUUUCGCCUGUGAUGAUAAUGACAGUAGCAGGUAAAGAAACCCCGGCUAACUCCGUGCCAGCAGCCGCGGUAAUACGGAGGGGGUUAGCGUUGUUCGGAAUUACUGGGCGUAAAGCGCGCGUAGGCGGAUUAGAAAGUUGGGGGUGAAAUCCCGGGGCUCAACCUCGGAACUGCCUCCAAAACUGCUAGUCUAGAGUUCGAGAGAGGUGAGUGGAAUUCCGAGUGUAGAGGUGAAAUUCGUAGAUAUUCGGAGGAACACCAGUGGCGAAGGCGGCUCACUGGCUCGAUACUGACGCUGAGGUGCGAAAGUGUGGGGAGCAAACAGGAUUAGAUACCCUGGUAGUCCACACCGUAAACGAUGAAUGCCAGUCGUCGGGUAGUAUACUAUUCGGUGACACACCUAACGGAUUAAGCAUUCCGCCUGGGGAGUACGGUCGCAAGAUUAAAACUCAAAUGAAUUGACGGGG
RNAcentral lists this ribosomal RNA (517 nucleotides) under uncultured bacterium. RNAcentral's name for it is "bacterial SSU rRNA". It matches the Rfam family "Bacterial small subunit ribosomal RNA", at positions 383 to 918 of the family's 1533-position model. The record is from RNAcentral.